CUGCAAUUUUCCUUUGGAUGAGCAGGUGGAAUCUAAAUCAAUGUUUGUUUUCCAAAUCGGCCUGGGUUGGUGGUGAUUGUUGUUUUGUUGUUUUCUCAUUGUGAGACAGAAGUAUAGGGUUCAAAGUUGGUGAUAAUUAACUGAAAGGCACAUUUUCCAGGCUUGAGUGUCAGGGACAGGAGUAAAGAGUUCAAAUUUAAAUUGGGGAAGGUUAAAAGAAAAGCACUACAUGCUUUAUGCUUAAAAAGAAUGAUAAAAAGGUCUACCCAACUACAACGUUGUUCAAGACUAACAAGAAAAAAUCAAACCGAUGCAAGCAGGUCUGACCACAACCCUUUAAAAGAAACCAGGAAUAAGCCUAAGUAAUAGUAGAAAAAUCAUGUAACUGUAAAACAUAGGAUUUAAGCCAUAGAAUAAGUCAGUGUGUCAGUAGUUAUAGAUAAAUAAGCAAGUAGAUUAAUAUAGAUAUAGAUAAGGUUAGAUUAACAUAGCAACCUGCUCUUGUAGCCUUGCAUAGGAUAAAGGACAUAGGGUUUAUGAAUAUUAGUAAAAUGACAGAUGAAAAUGUGCGUAUAGGCCAUAAGAUAACUGUAGUUUUAAGUAGGCAUCAAACAAGUUACUAGUACUGAGUGUGUAAAGCAUUUGCUCUCGUAGAGACUCAUUAGUUACUUUCAACAAUGCAC
This 683-nucleotide long non-coding RNA is filed under the name Marmota monax (woodchuck). The record is from RNAcentral. Lineage: Eukaryota; Metazoa; Chordata; Mammalia; Rodentia; Sciuridae.